RNAcentral lists this ribosomal RNA (1005 nucleotides) under Salmonella enterica subsp. enterica serovar Typhimurium. Its description in RNAcentral is "partial 23S ribosomal RNA". It matches the Rfam family "Bacterial large subunit ribosomal RNA", at positions 1 to 999 of the family's 2925-position model. Lineage: Bacteria; Pseudomonadati; Pseudomonadota; Gammaproteobacteria; Enterobacterales; Enterobacteriaceae. The record is from RNAcentral.
GUUGAUAAGGUUAAGUGAAUAAGGGCGCACGGUGGAUGCCUUGGCACUAGGAGCCGAUGAAGGACGGGACUAACACCGAUAUGCUUUGGGGAGCUGUACGUAAGCUAUGAUCCAGAGAUUUCCGAAUGGGGGAACCCAGCAUCUUUAAUAGGAUGUUACGAUUGUGUGAAUACAUAGCACAUUCGAGGUAGACGCAGAGAACUGAAACAUCUAAGUACCUGCAGGAAGAGAAAGAAAAUUCGAUUCCCUGAGUAGCGGCGAGCGAAACGGGAAAAGCCCAAACCAACAAGCUUGCUUGUUGGGGUUGUAGGACUCCAAUAUGGUCGUUCUUUCAGAUAGUCGAAUGACUUGGAAAAGUCAGUCAAAGAGGGUAAAAACCCCGUAGACGAAAUGUGGAAGACACCUAGGAGGAUCCUGAGUACGGCGGAACACGAGAAAUUCCGUCGGAAUCCGGGAGGACCAUCUCCCAAGGCUAAAUACUCCCUAGUGACCGAUAGUGAACCAGUACCGUGAGGGAAAGGUGAAAAGCACCCCGGAAGGGGAGUGAAAUAGAACCUGAAACCGUGUGCCUACAACAAGUCAAAGCCCGUUAAUGGGUGAUGGCGUGCCUUUUGUAGAAUGAACCGGCGAGUUACGAUUGCAUGCGAGGUUAAGUUGAAGAGACGGAGCCGCAGCGAAAGCGAGUCUGAAUAGGGCGUUUGAGUAUGUAGUCGUAGACCCGAAACCAUGUGAUCUACCCAUGUCCAGGUUGAAGGUGCGGUAAAACGCACUGGAGGACCGAACCCACGUACGUUGAAAAGUGCGGGGAUGAGGUGUGGGUAGCGGAGAAAUUCCAAACGAACUUGGAGAUAGCUGGUUCUCUCCGAAAUAGCUUUAGGGCUAGCCUCGGAAUUGAGAAUGAUGGAGGUAGAGCACUGUUUGGACUAGGGGCCCAUCUCGGGUUACCGAAUUCAGAUAAACUCCGAAUGCCAUUCAUUCAUAUCCGGGAGUCAGACUGUGAGUGAU